RNAcentral lists this long non-coding RNA (832 nucleotides) under Gossypium barbadense (sea-island cotton). RNAcentral's name for it is "long non-coding RNA (GBAR_LNC009843)". The record is from RNAcentral. Lineage: Eukaryota; Viridiplantae; Streptophyta; Magnoliopsida; Malvales; Malvaceae.
GAGAGUCUUCCUGCUCUCUCUCUCCCUUCUCCAUUUUUCCUCCCUUGCAGAUAGGGUUUCGAGACCCAUCCUCGCCGCCAUCGUCUGACCGCCGCACCACCACCAUACUCGGUGGCCGGCAAUGCACAAGAAUAGGCCGUUCGGCCUUGUUCCAAAAGAGUUUGAAGGCCUAGCCUUCUUGAGUCGAAAAGAACCGAAAGAAAGGGCCUUCACCCCUCUUUUAGCCCCGACGAUGGAGGAGAGACCUCCGGCAAAGCAACCACGGCGGUUCCGGUAAGGUUCCUCUCUUCCUUUUCUUUUUAUUUUAUGGCUACUCUUAUUUAAUAGAUUCGUGUUAAAAUAAAAAGGAAAUAUUAGAGAGAUGAAAAACGAAAUGGAAAUAAAGAAAGUAGAAUAAGAGAUCAACCUUUUGUGUUUUUUUUUUAUUUCCAGUGUUCGUUUGAUACGAUUCUUGUAUAUUCAAAGGUUCCCCAAAAUACAAUCUACCCCCCAUUUUUACAAUCAGAUCCCCCUCUUAUAGCCAUUUCAAAACGAUAAUUUAAGCCUUUUGCUACUGCUCUUGUGUUGUCUGCUUUUGUCUUGGUGUUUAUUUCAUUUUGCAGGGUAUGGAGGAGUUGGUGGGAGUGUGUGAUGCCUGGGAAUGGUGCUGCAGAGGCGUGGGGUGGCAAACAUCAUGGGGUGGCCAGGGUUCUUUUUUUCUUUGCUAUUUUUUAUUAUUGGUCUGGGCUAGGGUUAGUAGUUUGGGCUGUUUUGUAUUGGGUUUUAAGGGGUUUGAGUAAUUGGAUUGUAUUUGGGCCAAAAUUGGCCUGCAACAAUGCGAGCAGAAAGUGAA